Molecule: ribosomal RNA, 207 nt
Filed under: uncultured delta proteobacterium
Lineage: Bacteria; Deltaproteobacteria
Description: partial 16S ribosomal RNA
Rfam family: Bacterial small subunit ribosomal RNA
Source: RNAcentral
CGUGUAGGCGGUUUUUUAAGUCUGAUGUGAAAGCCCUGGGCUCAACCCGGGAAGUGCAUUGGAUACUGGAAGACUUGAAUACGGGAGAGGGCAGUGGAAUUCCUAGUGUAGGAGUGAAAUCCGUAGAUAUUAGGAGGAACACCGGUGGCGAAGGCGGCUGCCUGGACCGAUAUUGACGCUGAGACGCGAAAGCGUGGGUAGCAAACA